Molecule: long non-coding RNA, 280 nt
Organism: Daphnia pulicaria
Lineage: Eukaryota; Metazoa; Arthropoda; Branchiopoda; Diplostraca; Daphniidae
Exons: 3
Source: RefSeq, a predicted model, not a curated record
AAUAAUAAAAUGUGGAACUGGCUGCUCUUCUGCGUUGCUUGGAGCCUCGUUUGCCUCUUCGUUUUUGGCCGUUUUUGCAGCUUUUGCAGCCCGCUUCCUAUCUUUCAUGGGUUGGACGUUCCUCUUCCUUUUUGGUGUAGGUAAAACGAAAUCAUCUACAUAAGCUUCGUUUCCAUCUGCAUUUUACUUACCAGACUUGCUGUCGUCAUUUUUCUCUCUCUCAUUACCUGGUAGUAUGAUUUCAGCAAUAAUUUAAAACAAGGUAUUAAUUAGUUUUAUU